UGCUGCUAUUUAAAAGCACCAGUAAAUCAAAUAUUAUGAUGAUCACACAGCAACAGAUGAGUUUUGUUAGAAAGAGGAGUUGUUUAAGGGCUAACAUUAGCCACUUUUGUUCAUAUGUUUAUGUCGGAAUAAAUAACUGAUGAACUAUUAUGAAUAAACAACGAUUCACUCAUGAAAAACCUUUAACGUUAUGACGUUACACUGAAAUAUCCGAAAUGAUUACUUCGACUUAUGAAAGGUCGGCUCUAAAGGCUCUACAUCAGGGGCAUCCUCAAACUCGUCUUCCACUGAAGCUGCCAUCUUGCGCUCAAGUCAGUCGGAAUACACCAAUGCAGUAUCUGCACACUCCGCCAUUUUGGCUCAGCCAAGGAAGCGAGAACGCUAGUUAUAGAGGAAGAUUAGAUUCAAGAUGUCCUUUGUAGGGUGAACAGUUACGAACGGAAGUGGGAUGAUUACUUUGAUGACUCAGCCGGACUGUACCAAUCACUUUCACUGAACAAGAAUAUUCCAGAAGUGAUUUUCUUGUUGUUUUUAUUUAUGUGAAAUAGUUCUAAUAAGUAAAUACUUAUAACAUCAUA
Molecule: long non-coding RNA, 578 nt
Filed under: Danio rerio (zebrafish)
Lineage: Eukaryota; Metazoa; Chordata; Actinopteri; Cypriniformes; Danionidae
Description: si:dkey-121b10.8 (ENSDARG00000096541.2)
Source: RNAcentral